UAGUACAUUAGCUGGUCAGAUGGUAGUCUUGAAGAAAACAGGUCAAGGAAUUGGAUUUUAUGUUUUUUGUUAAUUGUGUUGGCUUCAAGUCUUUCUCUGCAUUUGAAUCAAAGGAAGUGGGCAUUUGUAUCUGAUUGAUGCGUUCAUGGAAGUUUAAACUACAAAGACAAGUGUUACGGAAAGUCAAGCUCCUAAGUUAGAAGUUUUACGUUUUAUCGUACUAGAUAGCUUGGUUUAUUUCAGCAUAUAUUAGAAGUUUUUUGAAUGUUUGUAUCAAAAUAUUCUACUUUAAUGGAUAUUAAAUUUCAGCAUGAUAUUUUUUUAAUAUAUUCAUUUAGCUGUUAAAUUCUUGGAAACUUUAGUUGUCCAGGAAGCUCUCCUUUUUUUUCUUUUUUCUUUUUCUUUUUUUUUAAUUUCAGUUGUACAACUCUUGACGGCUAAGAACCGUCAAGAAAGAUUUAUUAAAUGUCAGGAAAUAUAUUUGUUGAUGCUUAUUAAGUGACAA
Prunus persica (peach) is the source of this 505-nucleotide long non-coding RNA. RefSeq lists it as uncharacterized. The transcript is spliced from 3 exons. The record is from RefSeq and is a predicted model, not a curated record. NCBI's taxonomy places the organism in Eukaryota, Viridiplantae, Streptophyta, Magnoliopsida, Rosales, Rosaceae.